AUGCCUCGGGGGGUAAGCCAGAGGCGAGCCCCUACUCCCCUCGGUGGCGAAGCGCCUUCUCCACGGUUGGAAGCGCAGGACGCGAGACACUUCUGGAUGAAAAGGUUGAGAUGGCGCUGGCGGAUGAUGGUGGCGACUUUUGCCCCUAACUCCUCAGGGAUAAUGGGUCUCUUUACACUUUGUAAGGAUGGACUGGGCGAGUCGCUUCGCGGUGACCGUCGUGGUGCUGGUCUUGGACGCCACCCCAGACGACCUACGUGUCUCAAGCAGCUGGCUGAGGGGCUUGGAGCCGUUGGAGGCUGGCUGCCGCUAGCCACGAGGGUCUUCUUGGCACCUCCUCCUCCUGAGCUGUCUUGCCCGCCGGGGCACCACGAGACUCCUCCUCCAGGGCUCUGCCUCCUGGCCUUGCUUGGAAAGGACGGAGCUGGAAGGAGAUUUAAUACACACAGAAGAGGAGAUGGCAGAGCCGCCGAGGAAGCAGAGAUUGGCCACAAGACAAAGGCUGCUGGCAGCUCCCAGAAGCUCCUGCAGGCGAGGACUCUCUUACAGCCUUCGGACAGCUGUGACCCUGCUUCGACCCUGAUUAGGGCCCAGUGAUACUGACUUCGCAUUUCUGGCCUUCAGAACUGCACACAGCAAUCCACAUCUACAACAUCUCUUCAGGGUGGGGCUUGCCCUGUAUGGCCCUGUGCCCUCCUCCAGCAUCUGCUCUUCGCACAGGGGUGGCCCCUGAGACCUUCCAGGACCUGGGAUGGAUGAAGAAGCAACUCCCUCCUGCUCUUGGGCACACCCCACAGUGGGCCCUUCUCAUCUUGCUGGCCUGGGUUCCUCUGGGGAACUUCCCACCUGCAGAAAGGAUUAACCAG
This 866-nucleotide long non-coding RNA is filed under the name Callithrix jacchus (white-tufted-ear marmoset). RNAcentral describes it as "lncRNA (ENSCJAG00000081102.1)". The record is from RNAcentral. Lineage: Eukaryota; Metazoa; Chordata; Mammalia; Primates; Cebidae.